This 72-nucleotide transfer RNA is filed under the name Camelus bactrianus (Bactrian camel). It matches the Rfam family "tRNA". Rfam says of the family: Transfer RNA (tRNA) molecules are approximately 80 nucleotides in length. Their secondary structure includes four short double-helical elements and three loops (D, anti-codon, and T loops). The record is from Rfam by way of RNAcentral. RNAcentral also lists the same sequence under 2 other names. Lineage: Eukaryota; Metazoa; Chordata; Mammalia; Artiodactyla; Camelidae.
GAAGGUAUAGCUCAGUGGUGGAGCACAUGCCUAGCAUGCACGAGGUCCUGGGUUCAAUCCCCAGUGCCUCCA